AAGUCGUAACAAGGUUUCCGUAGGUGAACCUGCGGAAGGAUCAUUAACGAAUAACUAUGGCGUUGGUUGUAGCUGGCUCCUCGGAGCAAUGUGCACGCCCGCCAUUUUUAUCUUUCCACCUGUGCACCGACUGUAGGUCUGGAUACCUCUCGCCUCCGGGCGGAUGCGAGGGUUGCUCGUAAGGGCUUCCCUUGAACUUCCAGGCUCUACGUCUUUUUACACACCCCAAUAGUAUGAUGCAGAAUGUAGUCAAUGGGCUUCUCAGCCUAUAAAACACUAUACAACUUCCAGCAACGGAUCUCUUGGCUCUC
Molecule: unclassified non-coding RNA, 311 nt
Filed under: Coprinellus xanthothrix
Lineage: Eukaryota; Fungi; Basidiomycota; Agaricomycetes; Agaricales; Psathyrellaceae
Description: partial internal transcribed spacer region
Rfam family: Eukaryotic small subunit ribosomal RNA (bases 1-46)
Source: RNAcentral